Molecule: ribosomal RNA, 1499 nt
Filed under: uncultured bacterium
Lineage: Bacteria
Description: bacterial SSU rRNA
Rfam family: Bacterial small subunit ribosomal RNA
Source: RNAcentral
AGAGUUUGAUCAUGGCUCAGAUUGAACGCUGGCGGUAGGCUUAACACAUGCAAGUCGUGCGAGAAAGUAUCUUCGGAUAUGAGUAGAGCGGCGGACGGGUGAGUAACGCGUAGGAAUCUACCUAGUAGAAGGGGAUAGCCCGGGGAAACUCGGAUUAAUACCGUAUACCUCCUUCGGGAGAAAGAAGGCCUCUCUUUGAAGCUUUCGCUAUUAGAUGAGCCUGCGUAAGAUUAGCUUGUUGGUGAGGUAAAGGCUCACCAAGGCGACGAUCUUUAGCGGGUCUGAGAGGACGAUCCGCCACAUUGGGACUGAGACACGGCCCAGACUCCUACGGGAGGCAGCAGUGGGGAAUAUUGGACAAUGGGCGCAAGCCUGAUCCAGCCAUACCGCGUGUGUGAAGAAGGCCCUAGGGUUGUAAAGCACUUUAAGUUGGGAAGAAAAGUUAUUGGUUAAUACCCAAUAACCGUGACAUUACCAUCAGAAUAAGGACCGGCUAAUUCCGUGCCAGCAGCCGCGGUAAUACGGAAGGUCCAAGCGUUAAUCGGAAUUACUGGGCGUAAAGCGCGCGUAGGUGGUUUAUUAAGUUGGAUGUGAAAUCCCCGGGCUCAACCUGGGAACUGCAUCCAAAACUGAUUCACUAGAGUACGAUAGAGGGAGGUAGAAUUCACAGUGUAGCGGUGGAAUGCGUAGAUAUUGUGAAGAAUACCAAUGGCGAAGGCAGCCUCCUGGAUCUGUACUGACACUGAGGUGCGAAAGCGUGGGUAGCGAACAGGAUUAGAUACCCUGGUAGUCCACGCCGUAAACGAUGUCAACUAGCUGUUGGAAAACUAUGUUUUUCAGUGGCGCAGCUAACGUAGUAAGUUGACCGCCUGGGGAGUACGGCCGCAAGGCUAAAACUCAAAUGAAUUGACGGGGACCCGCACAAGCGGUGGAGCAUGUGGUUUAAUUCGAUGCAACGCGAAAAACCUUACCUAUACUUGACAUACUUGGAAUGCUUUGUAAUGAAGCAGUGCCUUCGGGAGCCAAGAUACAGGUGCUGCAUGGCUGUCGUCAGCUCGUGUCGUGAGAUGUUCCGUUAAGUCGGAUAACGAGCGCAACCCUUACCCUUAUUUGCCAGCGAUUCGGUCGGGAACUAUAAGGGGACUGCCGGUGAUAAACCGGAGGAAGGUGAGGACGACGUCAAGUCAUCAUGGCCCUUACGUAUAGGGCUACACACGUGCUACAAUGGAGAAUACAGACGGACGCUAAGCCGCGAGGUGGUGCUAAUCCUAGAAAAUUCUUCGUAGUCCGGAUUGGAGUCUGCAACUCGACUCCAUGAAGUCGGAAUCGCUAGUAAUCGCGAAUCAGCAUGUCGCGGUGAAUACGUUCUCGGGUCUUGUACACACCGCCCGUCAUACCAUGGAAGUGGAUUGCACCAGAAGUAGAUAGUCUAACCUUCGGGAGGGCGUUUACCACGGUGUGCUUCAUGACUGGGGUAAAGUCGUAACAAGGUAACCGUA